RNAcentral lists this long non-coding RNA (1454 nucleotides) under Macaca mulatta (Rhesus monkey). RNAcentral's name for it is "lncRNA (ENSMMUG00000062031.1)". The record is from RNAcentral. Lineage: Eukaryota; Metazoa; Chordata; Mammalia; Primates; Cercopithecidae.
AUGUGGCUGGUUUUACCCUUCCAGGUUGACAGUGGUGAUAAGAGAAAUCUAUUUGGGACUAUACUUCAGGCAAAGAGAAGAACUGAUGUUCAGACUUACAAAAGAGGUAGAACAUAUAUGCUUCCCAUUAUGCGAGAAAGAAACAGGCCUGAGAGUCUAAUGGAUUACUCAAGUCUAUGCUGCCAAGGAAGAACAGAAUCUUUAGGAGCUGCGAUAGGAUCAAGAGAUUUCAGCAUGCAUGUGGCCAUAGAUUGUCUGAGAAAGAAGCCAUCUGUUAGAGUUGACAGUCUCUACUUUAAUCCUUUACAUCUUUCAAAAGCUGAUAUCCGUAUGAAGGACCAUAAAUCCUCCUUAAUAUCCUUGUGGAUGAUGGAAAGACUAGAAGGUAAGAAGAUAUUAAUUGGAAAUUAAAUAAUUUGGAAGAGGAGAACCCUACCUUUUGGCUGUCUAUAAAAUUAGGUUAUUGGACUAGACAACUUAAAAAUUCUAACAUGAGAAUGAUAGAUAAUCAAAUUAUCCUGCAUUUGGGAUUCAUGCUAAAUGAGCACAGGCAAACCUCACUUUAUUGUGCUUUGCUUUGUUGUGUUUUUCAGAUAUCAUGUGUUUUACAAAUUGAAGGUUUGUGGAAACCCUGCAUAAAGCAAGUCUGUUGGUGACAUUUUCCCAACAGCAUUUGCUCACUUUGUGUUUCUGUGUCACAUGUUAGUAAUUCUUACAAUAUUUCAAACCUUUUUAUUAUUAUAUCUGUUCUGGUGAUCUGUGAUCAGUGAUCUUUGAUGUUACUACUAUAAUUUUUUUGGAUGCUGUGAACUGUGCCCAUAUAAAAUGGUGAAUUAAAUCAACACAAGUUGUGUGGUUCUUCCUGCUCCAAUGACCAGUUAUUCCCUGACCUCUCUCCCUGUUCUCAGACCUUCCUAGCCCCUGAGACAACAGUCUUGAAAUUAGGCUAAUUAACAAUCCUGCAAUGUCAUCUAAGUGUUAAAGUCAAAGGAAGAGUCACAAGUCUCUAACUUUAAAUCAAAAGCUAGAAAUAAUUAAGCUUAGUCAAAAAGGCAUGUUGAAAGCUGAGAUAGGCAGAAAGCUAGGCCUCUUGCACCAAUCAGUUAGUUGAGUUGUGGAUGAAAAGAAAAAGUUUUUGAGGAAAUUAAAAGUACUACUUCAGUGACUGCUCAAAUGAUAAGAAAGUAAAACACCCUUAUGCUAUUAUGGAGGGAGUUUUAAUGGCCUGGACAGAUCAAACUGGCUACAACAUUCCCUUAAGCUAAAGCCUAAUCCAGAGAAAGGCCCUAACUCUCUUCAAUUCUAUGAAGGCUGACAGAGGUGAGGAGGCUAAGGACAAAAAGUUGGAAGCUAGCAGAGGUCAUUCAUGAGGUUUAAGGAAAGAAGUCAUCUCCAUAAAAUAAAAGUACAAGGUAAAGCAGCUUGUGCCAAUGGAAAAGCUGCGUCCAGUCAUC